GCCAAGGCCUGUAUAAGGAUGCCACUACAACAAUUUGAAGUAUAUCAGUUCAGGACAAGUAAUAUAUGUGUAUGUUUUGCCUAAGAACCAUGUUCAAUAAUCAAUGUCAGGUGAGUUGAUGGACUAGCUACUUUGCAGAAAAGUAACAUGGUAGAGAUGGAUGUUGAAUUUAUCAUGCAAAGAAAGAAAAAUGGAAUGUCAAACAGACACUGACUACAAGAAAUGAAACAGACAAGCAAUAGAGAGAGAGAGAGAGAGAG
RNAcentral lists this unclassified non-coding RNA (260 nucleotides) under Hevea brasiliensis (rubber tree). The record is from RNAcentral. Lineage: Eukaryota; Viridiplantae; Streptophyta; Magnoliopsida; Malpighiales; Euphorbiaceae.